Oncorhynchus gorbuscha (pink salmon) is the source of this 1338-nucleotide long non-coding RNA. RefSeq lists it as uncharacterized. Lineage: Eukaryota; Metazoa; Chordata; Actinopteri; Salmoniformes; Salmonidae. The transcript is spliced from 3 exons. The record is from RefSeq and is a predicted model, not a curated record.
UCCCGUCGAUGUGGAUAGGGGGAUGCCCCCUCUGCUGUUUCCUGAAGUCCACGAUCAUCUCCUUUGUUUUGUUGACGUUGAGUGUGAGGUUAUUUUCCUACAUUUUACGGACGCAAUGUAUUUUACAAUAGUAAUCUUUUGUUUGUUUUUAGUCCCAUCCUUAAGCUAUUCUCCACCCCUCCCAUUUAUCUCUGACGACCACCCAGAUUUGAUUUCUAUUUGCCAUAUACUUGCCAACUGUGCUGUUUCACCAAACUUCUGAACCUACUGUAAAUACAUUUUCCUUUAGUUUAUCUUGUUAUUUUUAGUCCUACCCUUCAGCUCCACUCAGCUUUCCAAUGAACCCAUUGACUUGCCUGAAUGAGCAAUGUGUUCUAGAAUCUGAACGAAUUAUACAAUACACUCACAAACUGCUGACAAAAUCUAAGAAUUGGACUGGAUAUUUCCUUGUGGGUUCAGAACCAGCACCAGCUGUCAUAAUGAAUUAACUGUUUCUGUGGACGAUGCAGCCAAUUAAGUCAUUUUGAAUGAUUUGUAAGUGUAGAUGAUGUACACCCAGUGGUCAGUAUAUUAGGUACACCCAGUGGUCAGUAUAUUAGGUACACUCAGUGGUCAGUGUAUUAGGUACACCCAGUGGUCAGUAUAUUAGGUACACACAGUGGUCAGUGUAUUAGGUACACCCAGUGGUCAGUUUAUUAGGUACACACAGUGGUUAGUGUAUUAGGUACACUCAGUGGUCAGUGUAUUAGGUACACCCAGUGGUCAGUUUAUUAGGUACACUCAGUGUAUUAGAGAAACCCUGUAAUACUCUACACCCCCUCAGUGGUCAUAGAGACCAGAGAAACCCUGUAAUACUCUACACCCCCUCAGUGGUCAUAGAGACCAGAGAAACCCUGUAAUACUCUACACCCCCUCAGUGGUCAUAGAGACCAGAGAAACCCUGUAAUACUCUACACCCCCUCAGUGGUCAUAGAGACCAGAGAACCCCUGUAAUACUCUACACCCCCUCAGUGGUCAUAGAGACCAGAGAAACCCUGUAAUACUCUACACCCCCUCAGUGGUCAUAGAGACCAGAGAAACCCUGUAAUACUCUACACCCCCUCAGUGGUCAUAGAGACCAGAGUAAUCCUGUAAUACUCUACACCCCCUCGAAGCAGAGACCUAGAGACAAACAAAGCAUGGAGCCAGGACUAGCUGAAGCGUUAGUCAGCACUCUACCAUUAGAGUGCUCCCACUCUACCAUUAAGGUGCUCCCACUCUACCAUUAGAGUGCUCCCACUCUACCAUUAGAGUGCUCCCACUCUACCAUUAGAGGGCUCCCACUCUACCAUUAGAGGG